UUAAGUCAGGCAACGAGCGAGACCCGUGCCCACUGUUACCAGCAUGUCCUCCGGGACGAUGGGUACUCUGUGGGGACCGCCGGUGUUAAAUCGGAGGAAGGUGCGGGCCACGGUAGGUCAGUAUGCCCCGAAUUUCCCGGGCUACACGCGGGCUACAAUGAAUGGGACAAUGGGUCCCUCCCCUGAAAAGGGCUGGUAAUCUCACAAACCCAUCCGUAGUUCGGAUCGAGGGCUGUAACUCGCCCUCGUGAAGCUGGAAUCCGUAGUAAUCGCGUGUCUUAACCGCGCGGUGAAUACGUCCCUGCUCCUUGCACA
This 315-nucleotide ribosomal RNA is filed under the name uncultured archaeon. Its description in RNAcentral is "bacterial SSU rRNA". It matches the Rfam family "Archaeal small subunit ribosomal RNA", at positions 1029 to 1343 of the family's 1478-position model. The record is from RNAcentral.